This is a long non-coding RNA of Zea mays, 260 nucleotides long. RefSeq lists it as uncharacterized. The record is from RefSeq and is a predicted model, not a curated record. The transcript is spliced from 2 exons. Lineage: Eukaryota; Viridiplantae; Streptophyta; Magnoliopsida; Poales; Poaceae.
AGGAACAGAGGCAGUCGGCAAUGACGGCGAGCAACCCGACGAGGCGACGAGCGACGGCCGACGAGGCGUCAAGCAGUGGCGUGGCGGGCCGGCGGCUGCCUGCGUCCCUCCGCGGACCGUGGUUUCGCCUGACCGCCUAGCCGCACGGUGCCCGGCCGCCUGGCUGCAUGGUCGCAGUGCCGCACGGCGCCUGGAUGGCCUGGUUUACCUGUUCACUGAUUUUCCAAUUUCCAAAUAGCAGGCAUGGGUAGAAACAAAAA